Molecule: ribosomal RNA, 458 nt
Filed under: uncultured bacterium
Lineage: Bacteria
Description: partial 16S ribosomal RNA
Rfam family: Bacterial small subunit ribosomal RNA
Source: RNAcentral
CCUACGGGAGGCUGCAGUGAGGAAUAUUGGUCAAUGGGCGAGAGCCUGAACCAGCCAAGUCGCGUGAGGGAGUACUGCCCUAUGGGUUGUAAACCUCUUUUGUCGGGGAGCAAAAGCCGGACGUGUCCGGCUGUGAGAGUACCCGAAGAAAAAGCAUCGGCUAACUCCGUGCCAGCAGCCGCGGUAAUACGGGGGAUGCGAGCGGUAUCCGGAUUUAUUGGGUUUAAAGGGUGCGCAGGCGGAUUUUUAAGUCAGCGGUAAAAUCGUGGGGCUCAACCCCAUCCAGCCGUUGAAACUGGGGAUCUAGAGUGUGCGAGAGGUAUGCGGAAUGCGUGGUGUAGCGGUGAAAUGCAUAGAUAUCACGCAGAACCCCGAUUGCGAAGGCAGCAUACCGGUGCACAACUGACGCUCAGGCACGAAAGCGUGGGUAUCGAACAGGAUUAGAUACCCGAGUAGUC